This 298-nucleotide long non-coding RNA is filed under the name Hordeum vulgare. Its description in RNAcentral is "long non-coding RNA (HVUL_LNC010454)". Lineage: Eukaryota; Viridiplantae; Streptophyta; Magnoliopsida; Poales; Poaceae. The record is from RNAcentral.
CUUGGCGAAGCCCUCGGUGGUGCCGGUCUGGGUGCCGAAGAAGAUGGUGACGCGCUUCCUGCCGUCAUCGGCGUCGUCGACGUCGACCUUGACGGGCGGCGGGCGGAACGAGGCGGGGGGCGGCUUGGGUGGCGUGGACCCGCCAGAUCGGAGCCAGAAGGCGAGGACGAGCAGCCCCGCGACGAGCGCGGCCGCGGUGGCCGCGAGCGCGGCGAGCGGGUCGCCCCCCGCCGCCGCGGCCAGCUCCGGCGGCAGCACGGACGCCGCCCACUCGCUCGCCGCCUCCAGCAGCGCCAUC